Macaca mulatta (Rhesus monkey) is the source of this 6804-nucleotide non-coding RNA. NCBI's taxonomy places the organism in Eukaryota, Metazoa, Chordata, Mammalia, Primates, Cercopithecidae. The record is from RefSeq and is a predicted model, not a curated record.
UUUUUAAUUUCCUGAGGCUUCCCCAGCCAUGAUGAACUGAAUGUCCUUCGUGAGUCUUGCUUUUCCUCCUGUCUGCUGGCAGAGAGAGGAUGGUGGCGCGGCCAACACACGUUUGUGACUGAAGACCAUGGUGAUUUUGUAGCAUCCCGAGUAUUUCACAUCCAGGCGGAGGCUCCACCCUGGGCGCUGCUCCUUGGGUCUCCUUUUCUAGAGAGAGAUGAAGACCUCGGCGAGGGGCAUGUUCUUGUGGGGAGGUCAUCGCUGCUGGGAAGGAGAGGACACGCUUGUUGUCUAGUAAAGGCCUUGAUGACACCCCAUAUUAAAUUCAGGGAAUGAACCUCUUUACUACAAAGUGCUCCAUGUCAGGCAAGGUAGGAGAGAAGUAAGGAAGCGUGGGGUCUAGUGGGACAGACAGACCCGGGCCAGCUCUCCCAGAUGCAUCUAAUGAGGUGAAAGCAUCCACCCAGAGUGAGACUUGAGGGGGGACUGUACAUUACACAUCCUUUCCCGUUAUUGGAUUUACAUUUCUGACCUUAGGGAAUACUGAAGUCAGAAAUUUUUAAAUUCUGACUUUCCAGAUCCAUUCCAAAGUUGAUUCUGCAUAACAGUUUGUAUUAUUUUUUCACCCCUUGUAGCCCCGGGCUCAAAAUGCCCCCUUAACAUUCCUAAGUAGAAGAAACUAAACAUCUAAAUGACCAAAUCACGACACUGCCUCCUCCUCUUUCCAAACCUGUGCAGCCCUAUGCUCCUUAGUUUUGUAUUUCCAAAGGUUUGUUUUUGACUCACCUUUCCUGCGUUCCUUUCUCUCACCUGUGCAUCAUUUGGAAAACACAAAAGUGCUGCUCCUGAGGUUUUGCACCCUCUCCCUGUAGCCACUCACCAGCAAGCCCACUCUGCCAUGGCAGGGCCUGAAGCCUGUCAUUCAGGAACUAUGUGAUGGCACUCAGAAUCUUAGAAGCAAGAACAGCAGAUUUGGGGUGCCUGCAUUUUUUAUGGGAUACUGAUCUGGCCAGCCUUUCUUUCCCAUAGGAAUGGAGAAAAUGGUGGCAGAGAUAGUCCAAAUGAGCCGACGAGCUCCAAAGUGAAUUGUGUUUGCCUUUGAAAUGGGGUCUCAGAUUUGCACUCAUUCCUUCUGCACAGUAGCACGACAGUCAUCCAGCAGUGGCAGUGGUAUCGAGGGUGUGUGUGUGCGCUGCCUCUGCGUGGAGCAGGAAGGCAGGCUAGAAAUGUAUCUGGAUGGCUGAGGGGUAUGGCCACAGACAGACUGCUGGAAUCCUUGGUGUGGGACGGUGACUCAAUGGCAUGUUAUCACAUAUCAGCAGACGAAGAGAGCUUUCUUCUUGCUCCCAGGCCUCCUCUUGACUAGAGAAUGCAUUUCCGCUGCUGGUUGCUUCAAGGUAAGUCUGAGCAAAAGCCCCUUCGCUAUGACGAGGGAGACACAGGAGUCUGUAACACCCUUAUAAAGGGCUCCUCAGGGACCAAGAUCUAGAAAGCAGCGUACAGAAAGGAAAGCCAAUGGUUGUUUCCCCAGUUCUGCCCCCAUCCGAGGAUCCUCUUAUUUUAUAAACUGUUGCCCCGGUUCUUCCAGUCACUUUCAUAAAUCUUUGCAAGUACAUGGAUACCAGAAAAAAAUGUGUCUGCUAUUAUCCUAAACCACCCUGCAUGGCCAACCUGACCACAGGCAAGGCAAACAGCGAGGGAAAUGCUCUCUUCACUCCAUCAGUUCUCAGGCAACCACGGAUAUUAGCAGCAUGCACUGCAUGAAGUGUACGGGCAGGCAGGGCCUCAGUGCUAUGGUGUGAAAAAAAUCAGAGAUUUCAGUAAACGUAAGACCAACCCCCAUGACAUUUGUUAUUCAGCAGAGUAGUUAAGAGUUCUGAAACCAAACUGCCUGGGUCCAAAUCCCAGCUCUGGCACUUAUUAGCUGUGUGGUCUUGCGAGAGUUACUUAGAUUCUCUGUGCCUCAGUUUCCUCAGCUGUAAAAAGAGAAUAUCAACCAUAAUAUCUACCUUGUAGGAUUGUUGGAAGGAUUAAAUGAGUUAAAAGAAACUUAGUACAGUGUGUGGUACUUAGCAAGGACUACAUAAAAGUUUGUUACAAAAAAAAAUUAUGUCAUAGCACACACGGGGGGGGCACAUUUACUCAGCACUGUUGGCUUCAUGACGAAACAACUGAAAAGUCAUCAGACUGCUCCAUACUUGCAAGGAAUAGAGUCCACACUCACGAGGAUCCAAACCCUGCAUUUUGAAAUCUAAUGGUACUAGUGAAACUGCUGUUAGGCCACUAAGUGCUAAGAUGUUAAGACUGGGCUUCCAUCGUGCCUGUGACAUAUUUGUCGUCUUUUCCACCAAUCUUCUCAGUGAGUGAAAGAACCUCAGGGUCCAAGGCUCAUCUAAUCACACAGCAAAGAAUAAUUGUCAAUACGAUUUGUGUUGUGAGUCAAGCCUUCCUUGGUAGACAGGAGCAGUAAACCCUGAACAGAAGGGGCAAGCGAAAGAGAAGCGAGGAAAGUCUUUGUAUUGUUUUCCCUUUCUGUUCCUUGCUGGGCCAAAAUGAAACCCCGGGGCAACGCUGGGAGCCUCUGUGGCCUCCCAAGGCUGCCUCUGGUUUUGGACUUGAACUCAAGUGGUCUGUGAAGCCUGCGGCCAUCGCUGCACAGAGCUCGUGGGUCUUGUACUUUGGGGAUCCACAGGCAUGUCUACAAGUUUUUAGGGGAUCCCAACUAUCUCAGUUCUGGCCAGACCUCCUGAAGAUGCUCAAAUCCUCCCCCAGCCCACCCCUGAUCUGUGCAGGCUUCAGGGAGCCAGAUAUGGAUUCUAGGGAGAAACCUGUGUUUCCUGACGUUCCACUGCAAUUUGCAGAGUUUAACAGGCUGUGGGCUAACAAAUAUUUUGAAAGGCCUUGGAACACCCAGCAUCCUCCCACCUUGCUCCAAGCAAAAUGCAAUGUGCCUUCCAUCUCAUCUUCGGCAUCUCCCCAGCCCUUCUCAGCAUGAGCUGAAAGGAACGCUUCAUUGACUGGUCAAUAAGUCAUGUUUAUCGAACUGACAGUGUGUGAUGUAGGGGUGUGCGAGCUGCAGAGAAAGAUGGGUGAGCAGGGAAAAAAACAACCCAGUCAAAUGUUAGGAUUUAUGUAUAAAGAAAAAGGCUCUCCACUUCUCCCUCCCCAGCCUGGACAUUUGCCAACCCUCCUUUCCCAAAAGCUCCACAAGGAAAUGGGCAUCAUACCCUGAACUCAGAAGCCCUUUCUUUAUGUGGUGCUGACCUCUAGAGGCUUCUAAUUAAAAAGCAUCCCAAAGGGCCAACUUAAUUUUACUGCUGGUUUUUACACUGAACAUUUAUUGCCAUAUUUCCCUACAAAAUAAGGAUAAAAUAUUUGUUACUUUAAAUGAUCCCUUAAAAAAUGCCUACCUUGUUCCUUGACUGCCUAAUUAAAACUUGCCCAGAUCAUUACAAGUGUCAUUGUUUACUCCAAAAAGGAAAAAAGGAGGGUCAGAGACAGGGAAAGUACUUCGAAUUUUUUUGCCUAUGGUGGCCCUAAGAGGGAAGCAUAGUGCCAGCUUUUUCAGGAUGCAUUUCUUGCGUUUCCAAAGGGCCAAGUCUGCUAAAUAGAGACAGGAAUGUUCAUUCACUCCGAUUUGGCAGGGCACCGGCCAACGCCACCCCGACAGACACUCGGGUACACGGACACCAAGUCCUCCUAGUCCAGCCCCGGUGUGCGGUCUAAAUGCUGGGUGGUGGGUCUGGUUUUAUUUUGUUGUCCUUCAACCCACACCUGUACACAAUGAACUCUAGGACAAUGGAGGAUCCCACUCGGCCCAACUUCACUAUGGAAACAAGGCUAAUUUCUAAAGGGAGUGAGACUGUUGAUUACAUCCCUAAGCUAAACACCCCAAUUUCAUUUUGUUGUAGUUCUGACUCCUUAUUACUUUCACGAAGAGAAGGAAGGUGUGGGAAGGCAGAAGAAACGUGCAGGGACAUAAGCAUUCGGACUAACACACAGCCACAGUAUCAGCUGGCGUCUUCAAUUCCAAAAGGGAUCCUAGGGAAAAGGGCUUCAGAAUCCCAGGACAGCUUUGCCAAUCCUGGCCGCCCCACCCUGGUUUUGUGAGUGUUUCCAUAACUGUGUUUCUUGUCCUCCCUACUGACUCCUGACUCCCCUAGACAAGUCAGGGCUAGUGCCCAAAGGGAACUCAGGGACAAGUCCCCCACUCUUUAUUUUUACAGAUGAGGAAACAAAGCCGGAAAUGGGGUGGGGUGGGGAAGGGACAUGCCUAGGGCCACAGUCAGCCCAGGAGGAGUCUGGGCUAGAACCUCUUGCCCUCGGCCACUGAUUUCAGAAUGAUUACGAGGGGGAAACGUGGGUAUUUUUAACACCAGUCCCUGCACUUAAAGGAGCCAACCUGCAUUUUAUGAACUCUAUCUCUGAGACGGAUAGAAUAACUGUAACAAAGGCAGUCCAUCAGUAAGGCUUCGCCUGCCCCGCUGCUGCACCACUACCUUAGCCGAGCGGGAUUGGAAAUGCUGACACACAGCUCACCACUUGAGUACAAUCUCUAACAGCGGCAUCGAAAACAAAGGACCACACACUAUCUAACAUACACACAAGCCUUUAUGCUGUGCCUGUGAAGCCAAUCUCAAAUCUAAUCGAAUCUAAUGGGUCUCUCUAUGGAGACCCAUUCAUUUGGAGAAAGAAACUUGCUCUUAAUCAAAUAACAGAACUUACCAUCAACUUCCAGAUAAGUUAUUUAAAUGCCAUGUUUAGUGAAUAAAUAACCAGGAGGAAGGUGGUGGAGACAUGGUGUCAUGUCAUAGAAUGACCACAGAAUACAGAUUUCUAAUUGAUGCCACAAAGAAUUCCUAAGUAGGCUAGAAAAAAAAUAGGAUUCUCAAACACAAAACUAAAGUAUUGGUUCAAAGAAGAAAAUUACUAACUACCAGUUAUAGCAUCAGAAUAGACAUAUGAAUGCAUCACACAGAAAUGAUUAAUCUUUGAACAAUGGCAGUGUUUCAUGUCACCAGCUCCUCCCUCUCUUCCCCCAGCCUCCUCACACACAGCAACCACAGAGCGAGCUGCCGGUCCUUUACUCCUUGUUCUUCAUUUAUAAGCCACAUUAGGUGUCCUUUAGGACCAAACAUUGUGGAGGCAGAAAAAAAAGAGGCAAACACCACCAGAGUUUGAAAGGCUCUUUAAUAGCAAGCGAAUGGUAAUUACAUGGUCGGAUGAGGUCCUCAAUCUCAGGGGAGGGAGGAGGGAGCAGAGGUGGACAGGGUGCAGUACAGGAUUUACACUGUUUGAAGCAUCUAACGAAGGGCAACAGUUUUUGGCAACCCAUUUCACAGUUUUGUAAUUUACAAGAGAUUUCUUUGAAAGGAAAUAGGAAGACUUCUUAAAGAAAGCACACAUACCCUACCGGCAACACUUCUUGCCUUAAAAAAAAAAAAAAAAGAAAGAAACAACCAAAAAACAAAAGCUCAACAACUAUUCCUUGCUUUUGCUUCUUGUGUAGAUGACUAAAUUUUGCUCUCAUGCUCAAAUUAAGACUGGACCAUGGAUAGUGAAGAUCUGCCCUAGCAUUGAAGAUUGACUUCCUCCUCUUCAGAGCUGACAUUUGUACCGAGCACUGCUCUUAUCUUUAUCUGCCUAGGUAUCAGAAGGGGCUUAGUAAAAAAUGAAACUCGAGAAACAAAACAAAACAGAAAAACAGGAAAAGGCAGUUUACAAAGAACAGACUGUCAGCUUUCUCUCUGGUGCCGAACAACUUGAAUACAGCUCUAAGCAAAUUAAAACAUUUCUUUUUAUGUGGCCUGGCAUAUACUUUUAAUCGCUUGUGCCUAUUCAGCCUUACAGUGCUUUAAAUGGGGUUUCUAACAUGAAAUGCUCAUGGGUACUAUAUUUUUGUAAUCCAGAUUUAAAUAAAAAUAUAAAAGGCAACAUAUUAUUUAACAAUUUGCCCGCUAAGCAGGAGCUAUAGAUAUUUUACCAUGGACACCCAUCGCCAUGGACACCACAGGCUACCAGCAUUCUGGCAGGUUUCAGAACUACUCUCCAUAAAAUCUAAAAGACUUCAGCUUCUUGUGUCAUACCUGUUAUCACUAAACUGGGAGAAGUGACUGGGUCUUUAUGAAAGAGGAUCAGUUUUUAAUUCAAAGAAAUUUUAGGCUUCUCCGAAGACUGGGUGAUCGGCAAUGGCAUCUCUUUGGAGCUAACACCCACUGCAGGGGAGAGGGGUCUGUGAUCGCUUGAGCAUUAAUUGUGCUCUUUCUACAACCCUGAAGCACGGUGAGGAGGUGGGCCCUGCCCUCUGGCCUGAGGGGGCACUCCUGCUUCCUCCCUGCUGCCAAGGAGACCCAAGUUUGCUUUGUGAUUUACCCGCCAGAUGCCUGGAGCCCCUCUCAGAUCUGCCUGCGCUUGGGAAAGACAGGUUUCUCAGGCUGGCAGCUGGUUUUACUGAAGGAAAGAUACCCACCAGAUGAGCAGGGUCCCUGUUGGUCUCCUUGGCUGGGGGGCACCUUUACAGUGGCAAAGCCAUGCCAACACAAGGCAUUGCCUCUCAACAUACAGUCAGUUCCUUCGAGGAAAGCAGGCCCCCAGUGAGAGAGCCGUGAAAAUGAAAACAGUUUUCCUGGGGCUCAGGUGGUAACUGUCAGACCCCAACUCUCCCAUUUUCCUUCAUUCAUCUCCUCCCACCCCAAGUUAAGUCCCACCUAUUCCUUCAUGCCUCUCUGUGGGAAAUCAGAUCUGUUCAUACCAGUUUCCCAACUUGUGAAUUUUAACAUGCAAAGCCUAUUCCUAAAAUAUAAA